GUAAGUAAACAAUAUGAAAACAAAAAAUUAUGGCGGUAUCUUAAGCUUUUCAGAGGAAUUUGCUCUUUAAUGGAUAAAACACCCAAAUCUUACUAAAAUUAGUUAAUACAGUUUGUAUACCACUAUAAAAGUAAUAAUUAAUAAUUAUUACUUCAAUUGUUUACAAUACUAAAAAAUUAAGUCAAGGUGCAGCAAAAAUUUUAGAAUGAAGUGAAUUACAAAGCUUAAAAGAAAUACAAAAUGAAAAUUACUUAGGAUUUGAAAGUAAAAAUUUAAUAAUAUGAUUUUUUGAAUUAAGUUCUGAGAUAUGUAC
RNAcentral lists this ribosomal RNA (313 nucleotides) under Amblyomma oblongoguttatum. RNAcentral describes it as "partial 12S ribosomal RNA". The record is from RNAcentral. Lineage: Eukaryota; Metazoa; Arthropoda; Arachnida; Ixodida; Ixodidae.